AACGCACAUUGCACCCGGUGGUAUUCCGCCGGGUAUGCCUGUUCGAGCGUCUUUAGGACUCCCCCCCCAGCAAGCUUCGGCUUGAUUUUGAAGUUGCGGCGUCGAGCUGCAGCCUUGAAGACCACGGGCGGUUCCAGUAGGUUCUAUGCGUAGUAAUUUCUCCUCGCUAUUGGACUUUGCUCGGAGCAUUGGUACUAAGUCCAUUCAUUUGGCCACUCCAAGCCCUUAACACCCAAAUUCUAAGUUGACCUCGGAUCAAGUAGGGAUACCCGCUGAACUUAA
RNAcentral lists this unclassified non-coding RNA (282 nucleotides) under uncultured fungus. RNAcentral's name for it is "partial contains 5.8S ribosomal RNA, internal transcribed spacer 2, and large subunit ribosomal RNA". Lineage: Eukaryota; Fungi. The record is from RNAcentral.